UACAGAGGGUGCGAGCGUUGUCCGGAAUCACUGGGCGUAAAGGGCGCGUAGGCGGUGGGGUAAGCGUGUGGUGAAAGCUCGGGGCUCAACUCCGAGUCGGCCAUGCGAACUGCCCGACUGGAGCACACUAGAGGCGGAUGGAAUUCCGGGUGUAGCGGUGGAAUGCGUAGAGAUCCGGAAGAAUACCGGUGGUGAAGGUGGUUUGUUGGGGUGUUGUUGAUGUUGAGGCGCGAUAGUGUGGGGAGCAAACAGG
Molecule: ribosomal RNA, 253 nt
Filed under: uncultured Gemmatimonas sp.
Lineage: Bacteria; Pseudomonadati; Gemmatimonadota; Gemmatimonadia; Gemmatimonadales; Gemmatimonadaceae
Description: partial 16S ribosomal RNA
Rfam family: Bacterial small subunit ribosomal RNA
Source: RNAcentral